UCAUCGGCCCUUUUUAGGGCCAACAAUUUUUUCAAAACGUCGACU
Habropoda laboriosa is the source of this 45-nucleotide non-coding RNA. Lineage: Eukaryota; Metazoa; Arthropoda; Insecta; Hymenoptera; Apidae. The record is from Rfam.